CCAUGUGAGGACAUCGAGAGAAGGUUCUGUUUUGAAGUGGUGUCACCUACAAAGAGCUGUAUGCUACAGGCUGAAUCUGAGAAGCUCCGUCAAGCUUGGAUUCAAGCAGUUCAGGCAAGCAUUGCGUCUGCCUACAGGGAGAUUUCUGAUAACUAUUAUAUUGAGCGUUUGGACAGGACAGCGUCUCCCUCCACGAGCAGUAUCGACUCUGCCAGCGAGCCGCGGGAGCGUAUUGUUAAGGGAGAGAGUAUCCUACA
Sinocyclocheilus anshuiensis is the source of this 257-nucleotide long non-coding RNA. RefSeq lists it as uncharacterized. The transcript is spliced from 3 exons. Lineage: Eukaryota; Metazoa; Chordata; Actinopteri; Cypriniformes; Cyprinidae. The record is from RefSeq and is a predicted model, not a curated record.